RNAcentral lists this antisense RNA (505 nucleotides) under Streptomyces sp. MMG1533. RNAcentral's name for it is "Saccharopolyspora sRNA 350". It matches the Rfam family "Saccharopolyspora sRNA 350". The record is from Rfam by way of RNAcentral. Lineage: Bacteria; Bacillati; Actinomycetota; Actinomycetes; Kitasatosporales; Streptomycetaceae.
CGGGCCGUGUACUCCCAGAUGGCGUCCGGGUCGAGGAGCGCCUGGUCGCCGAAGUAGGCGCCGUCGGCGAGGACUCCGAGGACCGCGUCGUCACCGUACGGACCGGUGCCGACCUUCUCCGCCCUGCCGUGUGCCAGCAGGAAGACCUCGUCGGUCGGGCUGCCGAACUCCGCGAUCACGUCCCCCGGGUUGAACUCGCGUUGCUCGCAGCGCCGGGCGAGCUCGGUGAGCACGUCCUCGUCCUCGUAGGACCGCAGCGCGGGGAGUUCACGCAACUCGUCGGGGAUCACCUCGACGCGGUCGCCGGUCUUCACGAAGGUGACCCGGCCGUCACCCACGGCGUACGUGAGCCGUCGGUUCACCCGGUACGUGCCGCCCUGCACAUUCACCCAGGGCAGCGUGCGCAGCAGCCAGCGGGAGCUGAUCUCCUGCAUCUGGGGUGCGGACUUGGUGGUGGUGGCCAGGUUCCGCGCGGCCGCCGUGCCGAGGCUCUGCUGCGGCCUGU